Molecule: ribosomal RNA, 279 nt
Filed under: uncultured bacterium
Lineage: Bacteria
Description: partial 16S ribosomal RNA
Rfam family: Bacterial small subunit ribosomal RNA
Source: RNAcentral
UGCCAGCAGCCGCGGUAAUACGGAGGGUGCGAGCGUUAAUCAGAAUUACUGGGCGUAAAGCGCGCGUAGGCGGUUUGAUAAGUCGGAUGUGAAAUCCCUAGGCUUAACCUGGGAAUUGCAUUCGAUACUGUCAAGCUAGAGUCUAGGAGAGGGAUGCGGAAUUCCGGGUGUAGCGGUGAAAUGCGUAGAUAUCCGGAGGAACACCAGUGGCGAAGGCGGCAUCCUGGCCUAAGACUGACGCUGAGGCGCGAAAGCGUGGGGAGCAAACAGGAUUAGAUA